Molecule: signal recognition particle RNA, 100 nt
Filed under: Clostridia bacterium
Lineage: Bacteria; Bacillati; Bacillota; Clostridia
Description: signal recognition particle sRNA small type
Rfam family: Bacterial small signal recognition particle RNA
About the family: The signal recognition particle (SRP) is a universally conserved ribonucleoprotein involved in the co-translational targeting of proteins to membranes. Archaeal SRP consists of a 7S RNA and homologues of the eukaryotic SRP19 and SRP54 proteins.
Source: RNAcentral
GGCCGGGAACCGCACAACUUAGGCGCGUGAACCUCGUCAGGUGGGGAACCAAGCAGCGAUAAGCGAUGUUUUAAGUGUGAUGCGGAAGCUCCCGGCGUGA